GAAAUUUUCACAGGAUUCUCAAAUCCUCAAAAGGGGAAAACCAGACAAACGCCAUUAUAUUACACCACCACCAUCGUAAUCAAGAGCAGAACUUUUGAAACCCACCCUUGCCUGCCGGAGAACCGAAGCUUUUGUUUGUUUGAAGGGAAGGGAAGGGAAAGGAAAGUGGAGGAUGGGGGUGGAUUACUACAAGAUCUUACAAGUAGAUAGGAAUGCAAAAGAUGAUGACUUGAAGAAGGCUUAUAGGAAGCUUGCCAUGAAAUGGCAUCCUGAUAAGAAUCCCAAUAAUAAGAGAGAGGCUGAAGCUAAGUUUAAACAAAUCUCUGAGGCCUAUGAGGUUCUUAGUGAUCCCCAGAAAAGAGCAGUGUAUGACCAAUAUGGUGAAGAGGGUGUAAAAGGCUCAGUACCACCCCCUGAUGCUGGUGGAACUUCCUACUUCUCCACUGGAGAUAUUCCUGCAUCAUUCCGAUUCAAUCCACGGAGUGCUGAUGAUAUUUUUGCAGAGUUUUUUGGGUUUUCAAGACCAUUUGGAGGCAUGGGAGGUGGUGGUGGCAUGAGAGGAACAAGGUUCUCAAGUGGAAUAUUCGGUGAUGAUAUCUUUGGGUCUUUUGGUGAUGGAGGAGGAGGUUCAAUGCAUCAAAGUGGUCCUAGAAAAGCUUCUGCUAUUGAGAAUAGGUUACCUUGUAGUCUGGAGGAGCUCUACAAGGGGACUACCAAAAAGAUGAAGAUU
This 730-nucleotide unclassified non-coding RNA is filed under the name Hevea brasiliensis (rubber tree). Lineage: Eukaryota; Viridiplantae; Streptophyta; Magnoliopsida; Malpighiales; Euphorbiaceae. The record is from RNAcentral.